Gadus macrocephalus (Pacific cod) is the source of this 1454-nucleotide long non-coding RNA. RefSeq lists it as uncharacterized. NCBI's taxonomy places the organism in Eukaryota, Metazoa, Chordata, Actinopteri, Gadiformes, Gadidae. The record is from RefSeq and is a predicted model, not a curated record. The transcript is spliced from 3 exons.
CGUGUUUCUGGAGUGGAGGCGAGCUGGUAGGGGAGCCAUGAAUCUGGAGGAUGACAUCACUCUAGCAACAAGGAUUGUAAGUUUGUAUUAACCAAACAAACUGGAAAUAAAGGGCUUAAAAAUAAGACAAACUACAUGUUUGUUACCACACUUUAGGGCCAGACUCGCCUGUUUGUUCCAGACCAGGACUCUGGCUGAGGAGAGCUGAUGGAGGAGCCAAGACUCUGGAGGACGACAUCACUCCACCAACCAGGAUCCUCACCAGGAAUCUGGAGGACUGAUGGAGAAGCCGUACAUCUAGAAGGCAGAUCCUGAGGACGACCAGGACUCUACCAUUAAGGAUUCCUCAAAGGUUUGCAUUAUCUGGACAUGGUGGACUAGACACACCUGAGCUGAACCUCACCUGAUCCUGUUUGGUCGGGGGUAGACACACCUGAGCUAAACCCGCCCUGAUCCUGACAUCCUGCAGGUCCUGUCUCCUCAGUUCAUCUGAGCCUCGUCCUCCAGAAGACCUGCUGAGCUCAGCAGUCUGAGGCUGAUGGAUCAAUGAACUCCAGUCGGAGUGAGCUUCUUGACCCCACAUGUAACCGUGUGCUUCCACACGCCUUUCCCUCACGUCUGUCACUAACCUCACUACUUCACUUCUCUCUACUGCUUCCUCUUUUCUUCCUUCUCUGUGGUUCAAACCUUUACACUGGAGGCGCGCCUUCCUGCCCUCAGAGGGUUCAGCGUUAGGGUUGAGAGUCAGGGUUUAGAGUCAGGGACAGAGUUGGUCAGGGAGGACUGCUUUUACACAAACCUCUUCACUUGCUUUCGGAAUGGUGGUGACAUUUUGAAAAGAUUCAUUUGGGAAAAGGUUUUCCUCUGCUUUCCUUUACAAAAUUGUAUAAAACUUCUGUCAAGUGUUUUUGUUUAUAUAUUAAAAUCCCACAUUGACUUCUACAUGUUUGGUGCGGUUCAUUUAAUUAUCCUUUAACUUGGUUAAUGUCAAGCUAAACUCCUGCAAUACAUUUAAUAUACAUGAUUGUUAUUCAGCAAUGUUCACAUAAUCCAUUUUGUAAAAAUAUGAAACCUCCAUAUUACUACUAAAUUCAAGCCUAUUCAUGUAUUUAACAAUGUACAUACUGCCCCGCAGGCCAUUCUCUGCUACUACAACACGUUCAAUCCACCAACCCGUCUCGCAUCAAUGUACUAUAGCUACGUUGGUUCAAACGGAAAAUGUAGUUUGGUGUGAGACUGUUGUCCAGCAAAGGGAGCCGUCAUACACCUUAAUUAUACAGGAAUGUCUGUGUAUUUACAUUUUAAAAUGUUCAUGGGCUGGUCUAGUUUUUCUGCAAAUAACUCUGCCUCCAGCAACAGGAUUGGUUGAAACAUAUUCAAAACCUCAAAACACAUACAGAAGGUGACAAGCUUAAAUUCAGUUGGUAUUCUUGCCUGCAACACAGUCUGAUCCA